Molecule: ribosomal RNA, 669 nt
Filed under: Urophorus humeralis
Lineage: Eukaryota; Metazoa; Arthropoda; Insecta; Coleoptera; Nitidulidae
Description: SSU rRNA
Rfam family: Eukaryotic small subunit ribosomal RNA
Source: RNAcentral
GCGGUUAAAAAGCUCGUAGUCGAAUCUGUGUCCCGCGCCGCCGGUUCAUCGUCCGCGGUGUUAACUGGCGUGUCGCGGGACGUCCUGCCGGUGGGCUUAGCUCUUGGCGGCCCAACUCAAUCCCCCCGCGGUGCUCUUGACUGAGUGUCGAGGUGGGCCGGCGUUUACUUGAAAAAUAGAGUGCUUAACGGCGUCUGCCUGAAUGUUUAUGCAUGGAAUAAUAGAAUAGGACUUCGGUUCAUUCUGUUGGUCUUCAGACCGAAGUAAUGAUUAAGAGGAAUUGACGGGGGCAUCCGUAUCGUUGCGUGAGAGGUGAAAUUGUUGGACCUCCACACAGCAAUUCAGAAUGUUUUCAUUAAUCAAGAACGAAAGUCAGAGGCGAAGGCGAUUAGAUACCGCCCUAGUUCUGACCGUAAACGAUGCCAUCUAGCGAUCCGGAGUUGGUUAUAUCACCAUUCCGGGGAGCUUACCGGAAACGAAAGUCUUCGGGUUCCGGGGGUAGUAUGGUUGCAAAGCUGAAACUUAAAGGAAUUGACGGAAGGGCACCACCAGGAGUGGAGCCUGCGGCUAAUUUGACUCAACACGGGAAACUCACCAGGCCCGGACACCGGAAGGAUUGACAGAUUGAGAGCUCUUUCUUGAUUCGGUGGUUGGGGCAUGGCCGUUCUU